RNAcentral lists this ribosomal RNA (468 nucleotides) under uncultured bacterium. Its description in RNAcentral is "partial 16S ribosomal RNA". It matches the Rfam family "Bacterial small subunit ribosomal RNA", at positions 28 to 507 of the family's 1533-position model. The record is from RNAcentral.
GACGAACGCUGGCGGCGUGCUUAACACAUGCAAGUCGAACGGAAAGGCCCUGCUUUUGUGGGGUGCUCGAGUGGCGAACGGGUGAGUAACACGUGAGUAACCUGCCCUUGACUUUGGGAUAACUUCAGGAAACUGGGGCUAAUACCGGAUAGGAGCUCCUGCUGCAUGGUGGGGGUUGGAAAGUUUCGGCGGUUGGGGAUGGACUCGCGGCUUAUCAGCUUGUUGGUGGGGUAGUGGCUUACCAAGGCUUUGACGGGUAGCCGGCCUGAGAGGGUGACCGGCCACAAUGGGACUGAGAUACGGCCCAGACGCCUACGGGAGGCAGCAGUGGGGAAUAUUGCACAAUGGGCCGAAGCCUGAUGCAGCAACGCCGCGUGCGGGAUGACGGCCUUCUGGGUGUAAACCGCUGUCGCCUGUGACGAAGCGUGAGUGACGGUAAUGGGUAAAGAAGCACCGGCUAACUACGUG